CCUACGGGGGGCUGCAGUGAGGAAUAUUGGUCAAUGGGCGCGAGCCUGAACCAGCCAAGUAGCGUGAAGGAUGACUGCCCUACGGGUUGUAAACUUCUUUUAUAAAGGAAUACAGUGAGGCACGUGUGCCUUUUUGUAUGUACUUUAUGAAUAAGGAUCGGCUAACUCCGUGCCAGCAGCCGCGGUAAUACUGAGGCUCCGAGCGUUAUCCGGAUUUCUUGGGGUUAAAGGGAGCGUAGAUGGGUUGUUAAGUCAGUUGUGAAAGUUUGCGGAUCAACCGGAAAAUUGCAAUUGAUACUGGCAGUCUUGAGUACAGGUGAGGUAGGCGGAAUUCGUGGUGUAGCGGUGAAAUGCUUAGAUAUCACGAAGAACUCCGAUUGCGAAGGCAGCUUACUAAACUGCCACUGACAUUGAUGCUCGAAAGUGUGGGUAUCAAACAGGAUUAGAUACCCUUGUAGUC
This 460-nucleotide ribosomal RNA is filed under the name uncultured bacterium. RNAcentral describes it as "partial 16S ribosomal RNA". It matches the Rfam family "Bacterial small subunit ribosomal RNA", at positions 338 to 795 of the family's 1533-position model. The record is from RNAcentral.